GACGAACGCUGGCGGCGUGCUUAACACAUGCAAGUCGAACGGAAAGGCCCUGCAUCUGUGGGGUGCUCGAGUGGCGAACGGGUGAGUAACACGUGAGUAACCUGCCCUUGACCCUGGGAUAACUUCAGUAAAUUGGGGCUAAUACCGGAUAGGAGCUCCUGCUGCAUGGUGGGGGUUGGAAAGUUUCGGCGGGUGGUGAUGGACUCGCGGGAUAUCAGCUUGUUGGUGGGGUAGGGGCCUACCAAGGCUUUGACGGCUAGGCGGCCAGUGAGGGUGAGCCGGCGCGGUGGAACUGCGAUACUGGGAAGGAGCCUCCGGCAGGCAGCAUAAGGGAGGAAGCGGUGGGGAGUGAGGGCCUGUGCGAGGAAGGCUGCGGGAGCAAUGCCGGGCGUCGGAUGUGUAACCUGGGGUUGUAAGCGAAGUACAAGUCUGAGGGAGCGAGAGUGACGGUAAUGGGUAAAGAAGCACCGGCUAACUACGUG
Molecule: ribosomal RNA, 482 nt
Filed under: uncultured bacterium
Lineage: Bacteria
Description: partial 16S ribosomal RNA
Rfam family: Bacterial small subunit ribosomal RNA
Source: RNAcentral